This 497-nucleotide ribosomal RNA is filed under the name uncultured bacterium. RNAcentral describes it as "partial 16S ribosomal RNA". It matches the Rfam family "Bacterial small subunit ribosomal RNA", at positions 28 to 507 of the family's 1533-position model. The record is from RNAcentral.
GAUGAACGCUGGCGGCGUGCCUAAUACAUGCAAGUCGAGCGAACAGACGAGGAGCUUGCUCCUCUGACGUUAGCGGCGGACGGGUGAGUAACACGUGGAUAACCUACCUAUAAGACUGGGAUAACUUCGGGAAACCGGAGCUAAUACCGGAUAAUAUAUUGAACCGCAUGGUUCAAUAGUGAAAGACGGUUUUGCUGUCACUUAUAGAUGGAUCCGCGCCGCAUUAGCUAGUUGGUAAGGUAACGGCUUACCAAGGCAACGAUGCGUAGCCGACCUGAGAGGGUGAUCGGCCACACUGGAACUGAGACACGGUCCAGACUCCUACGGGAGGCAGCAGUAGGGAAUCUGCCGCAAUGGGCGAAAGCAUGACGGAGCAACGCCGCGUGAGUGAUGAAGGUCUUCGGAGCGUAAAACUCUGUUAUUAGGGAAGAACAAAUGUGUAAGUAACUAUGCACGUCUUGACGGUACCUAAUCAGAAAGCCGCGGCUAACUACGUG